AACGAACGCUGGCGGCAUGCCUAACACAUGCAAGUCGAACGAGACCUUCGGGUCUAGUGGCGCACGGGUGCGUAACGCGUGGGAACCUGCCCUUAGGUUCGGAAUAACUCCCCGAAAGGGGUGCUAAUACCGGAUAAUGUCUUCGGACCAAAGAUUUAUCGCCUUUGGAUGGGCCCGCGUUGGAUUAGCUAGUUGGUAGGGUAAAAGCCUACCAAGGCGACGAUCCAUAGCUGGUCUGAGAGGAUGAUCAGCCACACUGGGACUGAGACACGGCCCAGACUCCUACCGGAGGCAGCAGUGGGGAAUAUUGGACAAUGGGCGAAAGCCUGAUCCAGCAAUGCCGCGUGAGUGAUGAAGGCCUUAGGGUUGUAAAGCUCUUUUACCCGGGAUGAUAAUGACAGUACCGGGAGAAUAAGCUCCGGCUAACUCCGUG
Molecule: ribosomal RNA, 433 nt
Filed under: uncultured bacterium
Lineage: Bacteria
Description: partial 16S ribosomal RNA
Rfam family: Bacterial small subunit ribosomal RNA
Source: RNAcentral